Molecule: ribosomal RNA, 253 nt
Filed under: uncultured bacterium
Lineage: Bacteria
Description: partial 16S ribosomal RNA
Rfam family: Bacterial small subunit ribosomal RNA
Source: RNAcentral
UACGUAGGGUGCAAGCGUUGUCCGGAAUUAUUGGGCGUAAAGGGCUCGUAGGCGGUCUGUUGCGUCAGGAGUGAAAACUCGGGGCUUAACCCCGAGCCUGCUUCUGAUACGGGCAGACUAGAGGUAUGCAGGGGAGAACGGAAUUCCUGGUGUAGCGGUGGAAUGCGUAGAGAUCCGGAAGAACACCGGUGGCGAAGGCGGUGAGCUGGGCAGUAGCUGACACUGAGGCGCGACAGCGUGGGGAGCAAACAGG